GGGGGCAUUUGGGGUCAGCUGUUGUUGUUGAGUCGAGCUUUGUGUGGCUGGAAGGUUAGGUAUGAUUAUUUGCUGGAUGGCGAGAGGCUGUCCAUGAACGAUGUUAAGUGCUGCUUCUAAGGUAAGUUCGCCUCUGCUAUAUUUUCGUUUGUAAUGAUUUAUUAAUAUUUCGAACAAACUACUAGGAGGUGCUUUGUUUUCGGUUUUUUGUUUUUCAGAGAUGGCUAGCUGCUCUGCUUUCCUCUUUGAGGCUUCAUCGUGUUCAAAUUGCAGUAGUGAUGGAAGAGCAAAACUGUGCGAGAGGUUGAGCUGCACGCUCGGACUAGCAUACCGAGGUUGGAGAGGAAUGCAACAGGAUUGCAAUUGUUGUAAAUAUCUGGGUUUUGUCAGCCGACAGGGUACAUACGGAUUUGUGAGGAGUAGACGGCAGUACGGAUUUGGAUGGUGCAAGGUAGACGCGAAGAAUCGGUGGCUUGCAGUAAGAAAUGUGUCUUCGAUUGUACUGAAGUUAGAUUGGAUUCGUUUGAUCUGUACGUCGGAUACUAAGGCGCCCCAUAUUGGUAAGGCAUAUAGCCAUUGAGGGAAAAUUAGCUGCUUUAUUAUAACGACCUUACAGUUUUGGUUUAAGGAGCUUUGAGGGUCUAUUAGCCAGGAUAGUUUGUUGUAGGCAGAUUUCAGUUUGAUGGUGAGUUUAGUGACGUGUUGAAUUAGUGUUAGUUUGUUAUCUAGAUUCACACCCAGGUAUCUGUGUCCUUUGUUGUUGGAUAUGUUGUGUUCGUUUAUUUUUAGUGUAGUGCACGUUAAGUGAGGGGGAGCUUUGUUAAGGGUAUAUAGGACGUGUGCUGUCU
RNA transcript from Drosophila albomicans, 848 nucleotides. RefSeq lists it as uncharacterized. Lineage: Eukaryota; Metazoa; Arthropoda; Insecta; Diptera; Drosophilidae. The transcript is spliced from 2 exons. The record is from RefSeq and is a predicted model, not a curated record.